RNAcentral lists this ribosomal RNA (648 nucleotides) under uncultured Bacteroides sp. Its description in RNAcentral is "bacterial SSU rRNA". It matches the Rfam family "Bacterial small subunit ribosomal RNA", at positions 73 to 715 of the family's 1533-position model. Lineage: Bacteria; Pseudomonadati; Bacteroidota; Bacteroidia; Bacteroidales; Bacteroidaceae. The record is from RNAcentral.
UCUUAGCUUGCUAAGGCCGAUGGCGACCGGCGCACGGGUGAGUAACACGUAUCCCACCUGCCGUCUACUCUUGGACAGCCUUCUGAAAGGAAGAUUAAUACAAGAUGGCAUCAUGAGUUCACAUGUUCACAUGAUUAAAGGUAUUCCGGUAGACGAUGGGGAUGCGUUCCAUUAGAUAGUAGGCGGGGUAACGGCCCACCUAGUCUUCGAUGGAUAGGGGUUCUGAGAGGAAGGUCCCCCACAUUGGAACUGAGACACGGUCCAAACUCCUACGGGAGGCAGCAGUGAGGAAUAUUGGUCAAUGGGCGAGAGCCUGAACCAGCCAAGUAGCGUGAAGGAUGACUGCCCUAUGGGUUGUAAACUUCUUUUAUAAAGGAAUAAAGUCGGGUAUGGAUACCCGUUUGCAUGUACUUUAUGAAUAAGGAUCGGCUAACUCCGUGCCAGCAGCCGCGGUAAUACGGAGGAUCCGAGCGUUAUCCGGAUUUAUUGGGUUUAAAGGGAGCGUAGAUGGAUGUUUAAGUCAGUUGUGAAAGUUUGCGGCUCAACCGUAAAAUUGCAGUUGAUACUGGCAGUCUUGAGUGCAGUAGAGGUGGGCGGAAUUCGUGGUGUAGCGGUGAAAUGCUUAGAUAUCACGAAGAACUCCGAUUG